GGUUAGAGAGCACAGCACGGGAUCAUAAAUGUGUGCUGUGCACGAGACGACUGAGCCACUGACCAGAGGUUUCCUGAUGUUACCAGAGCCUCAAGAACAGCAAAGAAUUGGGAGCAACUUUGAAAGACUUGGUUGCGUCAUGUGAAGUUGUGGCCUUGGUCCGGAGAGGCACGACAUGGAAAGUCGCCCCACAACGAAGUCUGACAGUCAGCUGUCCUGUCAAACACUGUGGACGAACAUUAAAUAUCACCUGGUGUAAAGUCCUCCAGUCAAACUGUGAACAGCUGAAUAAAACAGAGAACGUAGAACUAAGACAGAAUCACAACCAAGCUAAUGAUCAACUAGUAUCUUAUUUGAGUUUCAAGCAGAUUUCCAUUUAUGAUGACGGUCUCUACAGAUGUAAGUUUAUAGGAGACAAACUUGGAGAAUUUAGUCAUUCCAUCAAGAUCUCAGUUUCAGACAAAUACCAGGGUGUUGAAAUGCCUAAAUUUGAAGCAGUCAAGAUAUCGAGCACUGAUGGUGAGGAUGAUUAUUCCUGGCUGCCGUAUUUCUGCAUCCCUGUGAGCAUAGUUCUCCUGAUUGUCACACUGACAGUGAUAACGAUGCUGAAAUUUUACGGCUGGAGGCGAAUACUGACCAUCAACCACACAAAAGGAGAGGAGAUGCCCACUCAUAUGAUACCAGACUUCCCCAAAUGGACCCAUUCUUUCUCUCCUGUCCUACGAAGCAGUGUCUGUACUGUGAAUGACAUCUACUCAUCAACUAGUCCAGAAACCCCAAAAUCGUCACCUGCCCUGUCACCCACUGGAGACCAGCCCGCUGUUUCAAACACAGCAGAUAAAAGCCAACCGUCAGCCUCUGCAGUGUACGCUGUCA
Amphiprion ocellaris (clown anemonefish) is the source of this 876-nucleotide long non-coding RNA. The record is from Ensembl. NCBI's taxonomy places the organism in Eukaryota, Metazoa, Chordata, Actinopteri, Pomacentridae.